GAUGAACGCUGGCUACAGGCUUAACACAUGCAAGUCGAGGGGAAACGACGGGGAAGCUUGCUUCCCCGGGCGUCGACCGGCGCACGGGUGAGUAACGCGUAUCCAACCUGCCUCUGACUGAGGGAUAACCCGUCGAAAGUCGGCCUAAUACCUCAUGGCAUCGUCUGCGGGCAUCCAACGACGAUUAAAGAUUUCAUCGGCCAGAGAUGGGGAUGCGUCUGAUUAGCUUGUUGGCGGGGUAACGGCCCACCAAGGCGACGAUCAGUAGGGGUUCUGAGAGGAAGGUCCCCCACAGUGGAACUGGGACACGGUCCAAUCUCCUACGGGAGGCAGCCGUGAGGAAUAUUGGUGAAUGGGAGAGAGCCUGAACCAGCCAAGUAGCGUGCAGGAUGGCGGCCCUCUGGGUUGUAAACUGCUUUUAUGCGGGGAUAAAGUGAGGGGCGUGUCCUUCAUUGCAGGUACCGCAUGAAUAAGGACCGGCUAAUUCCGUG
RNAcentral lists this ribosomal RNA (491 nucleotides) under uncultured bacterium. RNAcentral's name for it is "partial 16S ribosomal RNA". It matches the Rfam family "Bacterial small subunit ribosomal RNA", at positions 28 to 507 of the family's 1533-position model. The record is from RNAcentral.